AACGCAUAUUGCGCCCUUUGGUAUUCCGAAGGGCAUGCCUGUCCGAGCGUCAUUAUCAACCCUCAAGCCCGGCUUGUUGUUAGACCCUUCAAUGUGAGUUGACGGGCCUUAAAAACAACGACGGUGUUGUUAUAACCCCUGAUGCAACGAGCUUUAACAAGCAUGCGGUCAAGGUGGUGUAGCGGCCCGGUCUAAAUUCAAAAUAUUUCAAGGUUGACCUCGGAUCAGGUAGGAAUACCCGCUGAACUUAA
RNAcentral lists this unclassified non-coding RNA (251 nucleotides) under uncultured fungus. RNAcentral's name for it is "sequence contains ITS2". The stretch from base 1 to 52 matches the Rfam family "5.8S ribosomal RNA", at positions 103 to 154 of the family's 154-position model. Lineage: Eukaryota; Fungi. The record is from RNAcentral.